UGGGGAAUUUUGGACAAUGGGCGAAAGCCUGAUCCAGCAAUGCCGCGUGUGUGAAGAAGGCCUUCGGGUUGUAAAGCACUUUUGUCCGGAAAGAAAUCCUUGGCUCUAAUACAGUCGGGGGAUGACGGUACCGGAAGAAUAAGCACCGGCUAACUACGUGCCAGCAGCCGCGGUAAUACGUAGGGUGCAAGCGUUAAUCGGAAUUACUGGGCGUAAAGCGUGCGCAGGCGGUUUGCUAAGACCGAUGUGAAAUCCCCGGGCUCAACCUGGGAACUGCAUUGGUGACUGGGCAGGCUAGAGUAUGGCAGGAGGGGGGUAGAAUUCCACGUGUGAGCAGUGAAAUGCGUAGAGAUGUGGAGGAAUACCGAUGGCGAAGGCAGCCCCCUGGGCCAAUACUGACGCUCAUGCACGAAAGCGUGGGGAGCAAACAGGAUU
RNAcentral lists this ribosomal RNA (435 nucleotides) under uncultured bacterium. RNAcentral describes it as "partial 16S ribosomal RNA". It matches the Rfam family "Bacterial small subunit ribosomal RNA", at positions 355 to 779 of the family's 1533-position model. The record is from RNAcentral.